GCGGCUUCNGCUGUCACUUAUGGAUGGACCCNCGUCGCAUUAGCUAGUUGGUGAGGUAACGGCUCACCAAGGCAACGAUGCGUAGCCGACCUGAGAGGGUGAUCGGCCACACUGGGACUGAGACACGGCCCAGACUCCUACGGGAGGCAGCAGUAGGGAAUCUUCCGCAAUGGACGAAAGUCUGACGGAGCAACGCCGCGUGAGUGAUGAAGGCUUUCGGGUCGUAAAACUCUGUUGUUAGGGAAGAACAAGUGCUAGUUGAAUAAGCUGGCACCUUGACGGUACCUAACCAGAAAGCCACGGCUAACUACGUGCCAGCAGCCGCGGUAAUACGUAGGUGGCAAGCGUUAUCCGGAAUUAUUGGGCGUAAAGCGCGCGCAGGUGGUUUCUUAAGUCUGAUGUGAAAGCCCACGGCUCAACCGUGGAGGGUCAUUGGAAACUGGGAGACUUGAGUGCAGAAGAGGAAAGU
RNAcentral lists this ribosomal RNA (469 nucleotides) under Bacillus thuringiensis. RNAcentral describes it as "bacterial SSU rRNA". It matches the Rfam family "Bacterial small subunit ribosomal RNA", at positions 202 to 662 of the family's 1533-position model. The record is from RNAcentral. Lineage: Bacteria; Bacillati; Bacillota; Bacilli; Caryophanales; Bacillaceae.